GGAGUUGUAGCUCAGCAGUAGAGCACUUGCCUCCUAUGUAUGAGGCACUGGGUUCAAUUCCA
RNAcentral lists this transfer RNA (62 nucleotides) under Ictidomys tridecemlineatus (thirteen-lined ground squirrel). Its description in RNAcentral is "Spermophilus tridecemlineatus (thirteen-lined ground squirrel) tRNA". It matches the Rfam family "tRNA", at positions 1 to 61 of the family's 71-position model. From Rfam's summary of the family: Transfer RNA (tRNA) molecules are approximately 80 nucleotides in length. Their secondary structure includes four short double-helical elements and three loops (D, anti-codon, and T loops). Further hydrogen bonds mediate the characteristic L-shaped molecular structure. tRNAs have two regions of fundamental functional importance: the anti-codon, which is responsible for specific mRNA codon recognition, and the 3' end, to which the tRNAs corresponding amino acid is attached (by aminoacyl-tRNA synthetases). tRNAs cope with the degeneracy of the genetic code in two manners: having more than one tRNA (with a specific anti-codon) for a particular amino acid; and 'wobble' base-pairing, i.e. permitting non-standard base-pairing at the 3rd anti-codon position. Lineage: Eukaryota; Metazoa; Chordata; Mammalia; Rodentia; Sciuridae. The record is from Rfam by way of RNAcentral.